Molecule: long non-coding RNA, 10560 nt
Filed under: Lathyrus oleraceus (garden pea)
Lineage: Eukaryota; Viridiplantae; Streptophyta; Magnoliopsida; Fabales; Fabaceae
Description: Pisum sativum (pea) long non-coding RNA (PSAT_LNC012454)
Source: RNAcentral
GAGAUUGUAAAGUGGACUUGUGAAGGCCGUGAGCGAGUUUACGACAUGGCAGGAGUUGUCGUGGGCGGUGGUGGUUGAACAAUUAUGUUGCAAAUUGUUGGUGGAGCUGCAAAAUUGAAGGAGGUCUUGUGGAGGUGGAGACGGAGCGGAAAGAUUUUGAGGUUUAUGAGGUGUAGGAAGGCGGGUUUCCGGCGGAGAGAGAUGAAAGGUUUUGACGACACAAUUUGUGUGGUGGUUCGGCGGUGACGGGAUGUCGUGGAGAAGACGAUGGGGGAUGGUGGUAGGUUGGGUUUGCCGGCGGCGAAGGUGAAAGGUUGUUGAUGACGGUGUGUGAGGGAGCUUUUCGCUGGAAUUGGUGGCGGAUGGAGAGAGGAUGGUGUUUGGUUUUUUAAGGUCAAUGAGAGAGAAGAGUAUCCUUUUCUUUUCUUUUCGUUGAGAGUCUAUGAGUGAGGUACUGAAUAGUGAAUGGGUUAUAUGAAUGAGGUGAGACUGAGAAAGAGUUAAAGUGAGUGAGGUGAUAGCUGGCGUGUGGGAAGCGGAAACGUGCAGUGUGAGGAGAGUGGCAUAGGUGAUAGCUGUCAACUUAAUAAAAGAAUCCAAUGCCACCUUAUUUUAUUAUUUUGAAAAUCAUUUAUUCGUUUUUAACUAAAAUAUGAUUAUCACAAAUAAAAAAUCUUAAUUAUUUAAUUUGAUAUUUUGAAUAAAGAAAUAAAAUGACCGGACUAAAAAUAGAAAUUGGAUAUAAAUUUACUCGAAAAAUUAAAUCGGAUGUACUAAAAUGAUCAGCACAAAAUAUACUUAUUGAAAAAAAUACAGCGUUUCUUUAAAUUUUGAGAUAAAUUUUCACCGGUUAAAAGAGCUCAAGCGGGUCAAAACGCAAUUGAAAUAGCCGCUGAAAAAUAUAACGGGCACACCAGGUUAAACUACGUGAAUCGUAGGUUAAUAAUACUGGCGUCUGCAAUUUUAAUUUUGAAACUUUUUACCCGCUGAUUUUGCAUGUUCUUGAGAAAUGAUUUAACCAAUUUGUCUGUAUUUUCAAUAAAUUUAUUUUGAAUGAUAUUUUAGGUUUUAUUCAUGAUGAAAUGCAUGUCAUGCUGUGCAUAUGAUGCAAAUUAAAAAUGAAAUCGAGUUUACAAAAAUUUAAAUAUGCCCAGACAAAAUUGGGGUAUGACAGUAGGUCAUAAGCAUUGCAUAUCAUGUUGCAUCUCAUCAGUCAAGACUGGUCAGGAGAUUCAACUGUGCAAGGCAACAAGAUCAUUUUCCAUGAGAUGAAAGCCCUAUGGUUGUUAUAAUGAGCUUACAUGACCCAAGGAUCACUUUGAAGCAAUUUGGCCAAGUGUUGAAGGCUCAGAACUCAUCAGUGCAUGUGCAAGUCAUCUGAAGCCCAUAAAAGUCAACUGCAAAGUCAACUGUGGAUUUGGAGGUGGGAAGUGGUUAGAGAUGCUUCAUUCAUGUUCAAACAAGUCUCAUUUGACAUUUGAAACACUUACAUUGAAGAAUUUGAAGUCAAGUCAAGAAUUUCCCAAAAUAGAAAGUGACCCAUAAUUUGGAAUUUCCAAAAAUGGCAAGGUUUUGGACCAACUUCAACUCAAUUUUAAAUCAUCAAUAAAGCUUCAAAUGAAAUUUUGUCCAACAUGCAAGUUGAAGAUCUUUCUCUCCCAUUUCUAAAAAGUCCAAGAUCAUGGAUUUAUGAUGUGUGGUUGAGGAGAUAUGAUCCAAUCAUGGCAAAGUGUGCUUAAAAUUUCAAAUGGGCAUAACUUUUGAACCAAGGCUCCAAUUUGGGUGGUUCUUUUUGCAUUUUGUUCAUCAUGACAUGCACUUUCCAAACAUAUCAUUACAUAGCAUGAAUUUCACUUGCAUGAUCAUGUGCUCACUUAUGAAGUUUUUGGAAGAAAAAUUUCUAAAAUCAAUUUGGUUGAUCAUAUGCUUAAAAAACCAUUUCCAAAGUGUGCAUGGGUUAUUUUUAAGUGGUUUUGGGCCUUAUGUUGGUACUGUUCACGCAUGCAUGAAGGGCAUAAGGUGAAAAUCCAAUUUUGUGCACACGCCUCAUAACUUGCUAAUCUCAAUUGGUUUUGGCUUAAACAUGUUUUCAGUAUCAUUAGCAAGACAUAUAUAUUGUUAAUCACAAUUGCAUUUGGCAUUAACCACAGUUUUCAGAUCUAGAUCUCAAAAUCAACAAAAAAUUUCUCUCAAAAAUAUUUCCAAAUUCUUCACACAAAAGCCAUUUCUAUUGAUGGAUUCAUGAUCAGGAAGUAUUUUUGAGGCAAAUUGAACGUGGACUUGGAUCAAAUCGUGCUAGUUUGGACCAUACUCGAAGCUUGAAGGUUCAAUGGAGUUUGCAAAAUCUACUGGAUUCACGUGCGUUUGAGCUUCAUUUUUUCCAUCAAUCAUCUCCACAAGCAUCAUAGAGGAGCUUUGGACCAUUACAAGCCUUGGAUAACGCGAUUCAAAGGUGCUGCUCUUCAAGAGGUUGAUUUUCGAUCUCAUCUAUUCUCCAAUUCAUUAUGAUAUUUGUAUAGAUCUUUGAUUGGUGAUCAUUCUGGUAUAAAAUUUGAGUGAAAUGACGUAUUAUUCAUGAAGAUACAUGCAUUUGAAGUUUUGAUGUCAAUUUUUCUUUUCUUCGAUUUGAGCGAUGCUUGAUGUUUUAGUGUGAAUUGUGGUUUGAUCUUGCAUGUACAUGAGCCAAGGAUUCGAUUGAUGUAAUUAUUUUUGAUUUCUGGAAUGGUUUUGAAAAAUCUGGAAAUUUGCAUUUGAAGUUCAUCUUCAUCUUCAUGAGGAAGAUGAAGAUCAUCACGUUUUCCAGAACUUGCUAUGAGUCUGCUAGGAUUUAGCUACGAAAUGUUCAUGAGUUAGCUACGAUUUCUGGAGAUUUUCCAGGCUUAGGGUUUUGCACCAAAACGCUGUCGUUUUGGUGGAGCGCCAAAUUCAAAUCUGGACCAGGUUCGAUCCUGGCCGAGCGCGUUUUUUCAAAUGCUUCAUGAUUUUCACCUUUUCCCUCCCUUUGACCAUGCUUGUUCAUGUUUUGAUUUCAAGUUUUUCCCAAACUUCAUAAAAUCAUAACAAAUUGAAAACUCAUCCAAUUUAAUCCCAAUUUUUUGCAAAAUGCUCUUUAUUCUGUCUAGUUUUUUAUGAUCAUAAAUUGGAAAAUUGUGCAUGGCUGGAUUUUAUUUGGUUCUAGGUUAUGUGAGCAUGUAUCCAUUUUUGACCUUGCCUUGUUUAUCUUGUUGUGAAAUGCUUGUUUCUUAUCCAAUGAACCUGAAAUUUUGCAUGCUAAUUCUAGACACAUUAAUGGACAUUUUGGCUUUGGUUUGACAUUUUUCCCAUGCUCCAUUUCUGUUUUAUGCUUGUGUUAACUUGGUGUGACAAUUUGUGUCACACAUUUGAUUGUUUGACUUGUACAAUGUGAUUUCCAUGCCAAAUGAUCUCCAAUGGUUAUGAUUUUUUGUGUGAUGGAUGUUGUGGAUGUCUUGAUUGCUCAUGAAUUUUUCCAGAAUUAUUUGAAUCAUUUCUGUUUUGAUUGAGAAUUUUCAUUCAUGUUGAUCAUUUGGAUGCCUUGAAUUGGUCUUUGAUUUAUCUUGCACAUAAAAUGAACUUGCCUAGUGAUUUUACUUUGGUUCUUUUUAGGAUUUACUCUUGAUUGAUUAAAUAUGAUCCAUGUUGAGUUUGAGGUUCUGUUUUGGAUUUUUGAUCCUCUUUUGACCCUAGGCUUUGACCUAGUGGUUUGGACUUACCAUUUGGGUUAUGAAUUUCAGGUUCAAGUGUACAUUUCCAUGAUUGGAGUGGCUCCUUCAUUUAAGCUUAGUCAAUUGUUGUCAUGUGCUAACCUUUGUGUGUUUUGUAGGCUUUGAGAACAAUUCACUUGUGCUUGUGGCUUGCUCAUUGUUGUCUAAUGAUGCUUUGUCUGUCUGUUUGUUAUUAACUGUUGAUUGUUUGUCUGUACAGUUAAACUGAUUGGUUUAGCUAUUUCCACAGGUACCUAAGUUGCUUUGAGUUCAUUUGAACUUGCUUGGCAUUGCUUGUGGUUUGCAUACCACUAAGGUAUAAUUCCUUGACUUCAUGUAGUCUGGAAGACCUAUUGUUAUUGGUAGGCACCUGUCUGAAGCCCUCCUUAAGAGGCAAUGUUUGUGAAUGUUUAAUUUUGUGCCAAGCAGGUAAAGACCUCUUAAGAGGCAAUUGACAGAUGGAAGGGAUAUGCAAUCCAUCCCCUGCUAUUCAGUUGUGUCACUCACUUUGCUCACACACCAUGUGUUGACGCAUUGUGAGUAAGAGCCCAAAAUCUAGUCCAUAGAGUCAGUCAUCUGUGGAGAAGAGUUCCUACAUUCUGAACUCCCACACUUUCUAUUUUGAGUCAAGCUCUCCCAGGCCAGGGAUAAGAGCUGUGAGGUCUUAUCCUCACUUCCCAUUUCAUCUGCUUAUCAUCUGCUUCACCCUAACUCUCAAUGUUAGGGUUAAGAGCUAAAAACACCCCAUUCCAGUUGGCUUGUUUCUGCAGCCUAACCUUGUAUGAGCCCAAUUGUUUGCAUAUAGUGUGUGUGCUUGCUUUAUUGUACUUGUGUUUGCUCAAUUGUGCUGUUUAGGAUAGCUUGCUUCCUGUGCAAGUUAGGAUAGAAACCUCAACCUAGGACCAUUGUGGAUUACAUGAUAACUAUUAGGCUCGAGUCAGGCUCCCUUCUAGUUUGUAAUUUCCCAGUCUCUAGUUAGGUUAGAAGUUCUUUCCCUGUUUAGGGGAACUACGUCGCCCUGAUCCUCAUACCAGAUGAGGUACGUAGGCAGGAGAUGAGCUGAUCUCUCCGGGCGCCCUUUUUCUUUUGCAACCCUUUGCGUGUGUUGGAGUCUGACAUAAGUCCAGCGAUUGGCAGUUGGUUUCCUGUGUCUUGUUUGCUUGUUGGAGUCUGACAUAAGUCCAGCGAUUGACAGUUGGUUUCCUGUGUGUGUGUUUGUUGGUUCGGAGUCUGAUAUAAGUCCAGCGAUUGGCAUUCGAUUUCCAUGUUCGCCUGUUUGUGUGGCGUCUGACGUAAGUCCAGCGAUUGGCAGUCGGUUUCCUGUGUGGUCUUGUUUGGCGUGCGUUAGCCGAGCUACGAGUGCUCUGAUUCUUCUCUGAUUAGAGAAGAUACGUAUGCAUAGGAUGCGACAUCCUAGCGAGCACGUUUCCCCUGUCCCGGAACUACGUCGCCUCUGAUGUCUGUGUCUGAUAGACUACGUAGGCCCAGGAUGCGAUAUCCUGCCGAGUNCAAUAUCCUGCCGAGUCCUGUUUCUUUUGUCUUUCUGUGUUUCCUUCCAGCCUUGUGCAGUUUGUGAGCAGUUUUAGCAACCUUUCUUCUUCCUUUCGAGCGUGGAUCCCAUCGAGUACGACGGAUGCGUAGGGCUGCUAAUACCUUCCCUUCGCAUAACCGACUCCCGUACCCAUCCAUCUCUGGUCGCGAGACCAUGUCUUUUCCAGGUUUACUUCGAGCGUUUCCUUUCCCUCUUUUGGGAUAAAUAACGCACGGUGGCGACUCUGUUAUUUUGUUUUCCCGCCGGUUUUUCGCGUAAUGCGACAGCUGGCGACUCUGCUGGGGACUAAAGAGAAGUUGACCUCUUGCUGGUCCAUCUUCCCUAAGCGAGUCACUCCUAGCGCUCUCUAGGAUAAGGUUUGGUUGCUUUUACUGUUUCAUUUAUUGCAUUUAUGAUUAUGAUGUGAUUGUUUAUGUUUGCAUUCAUCAUAUUUUCAUCAGUGCUGGCUGUGUGUUUGUCUCUCUGUGGGGUGGGAGUUCCAAGAGGUAAAAGGCCCAAUACCCAGGCUAUGAGUGAACUUUAGGACACCUAGGAAUAGAGUGAUUCAUGGGAAGCGGGUGGUAUUGCGCCACUUAGCGGAACUUGAUAUCACGAGCAGUUCAGAUCCUUAUGGGGUAUUAUCGGUGCAUACAUCGGGUGUGUACAUGAUGAUAUUCUAUGAAAGGGUUGUUUAUCCUGCGUUUCUCUUGACCUUACCCUGGCCUAGAUGACACCCGUGAGUGGGGAGGGAAUGAAUCAUUUUACAGGUACCGUUGGUGACUUGUUGGUGACUCUUGGUUCCUGUUGGUGACUUGGUUCUGAGAUAUAUGGGUUCCAGAUGACUUUGGGUCUCAGAUGACUUUGUGGUUCCGAAUUCAGGCCGAAGCUUUGAACCUGUGCUCCGUAACACACAGCCAACCAGUCGCGUUUGCAUCAUUUGCAUCAUAGCAUAUUUAUUUUCAAAAAAAAAAAGUAAUGCAAAAAAAAAGAAAGAAAGAAAAGAAAAGAAAAAAAGCUAAUCUCCUCAUGCAUAUCAUUUCUCAGGUUUAUUUGGGAGUCUGUUCACUGUGAGAGAUGGCAUCCGUUCCAGAGUUGAAGAGGAAGACGUGCACCUACAGUUUUCACCGUGAGCCAUUGACGUCUUUGAUAGAGUUGAGCAACUUUGUGACCGGCGGUAAUCAGAAGGUGUUUGUUGAUCAGUAUGGGGAUUUGUUGACACUGUUGAAGAUGGUGGUAGAUCCAGUACCGUUGCAGACUCUUCUACAGUUCUAUGACCCAGAGCUCCGUUGUUUCACUUUCUAGGAUUAUCAGUUAGCGACCACUCUUGAGGAGUACUCCAUUCUGAUGAAUGUCCCGAUCAGAUAUCAGGUGCCUUUCUUCGAUGUUCCAAAGGAGGUUGAUUUCAGAGUCAUUGCCAGAGCUCUUCAUUUGAGUAUCAAAGAAGUGAGUGAAAAUUGGAAGUCAAGUGGUGAUGUUGUGGGGUUUCCUUUGAAGUACCUGAUGAGGAUGGCUAAAGAAGAAACAAAGAAGGGAAAUUGGGAAGCUUUUCAUGCUCAGUUGGCUACUAUGAUUUAUGGGGUGGUGUUGUUUCCGAGUAUGCCUAAUUUUGUGGACUUUGCUGCUAUCACUAUCUUCAUCAGAGGAAAUCCAGUUCCUACUUUGUUAGCUGACACUUACUAUGCUAUUCACAGCAGGCAUGGUAAGGGUGGAGCUAUCAGAUGCUGUCUCCCUUUAUUGCUCAGAUGGUUCUUGUCUCUUCUGCCAGCCAGUGGACCUUUUGUAGAUGCUCAGAGCACUCAUAAGUGGACUCAGAGGAUUAUGUCUCUUACCUCCUAUGACAUCAGGUGGCAAUCUUACCGGAUGGAUGUGCGUAAUGUCAUCUUGAGUUGUGGAGAGUUUCGUAAUGUGCCACUCAUAGGGACUAAAGGUUGCAUCAAUUACAACUCGGUUCUUUCUCUUCGCCAGUUGGGGUUUGUGAUGAAUGGAAGACCACUAGAUGCUGAGAUAGCAGAAAGUGUGUAUUUUGAGUAGCGGAGUGACCCGGCUAGAUUGGAGCAAGUGGGAAGAGCUUGGAAGACUAUUGGUGUCAAGGAUGGAGCUGUGUUAGGGAAGAAGUUUGCCAUUGCUAUGCCUGAUUACAUUGAUUGGGUCAAGAGAGUUGAGACUUUGUUAUUGCCCUAUGAUAGGAUGGAGUCUUUGCAAGAGCAACCACCUUUGAUCCUUGCGGAGAGUGUGCCUGCUGAGCACUACAAGCAAGCCUUGAUGGAGAAUCGUCGGUUGAAGGAGAAGGAACAAGAUACCCAGAUGGAGCUCUACAAAGCCAAAGCUGACAAGUUGAACUUGGCUCAUCAACUCAAAGGCAUGCAGGGUGAAGAUGCUAGCAGAUUGAAGAGCAAGAAGAGGUCUUAUGAGGAGUUAGAGACAUUGCUGAAUGAAGAACACCGUGAGUGUUUGAGGUUGCAGAAAGCUGAAGCUAAUUAUCAGAAGAAGAUAAGGGAUUUGGAAAAGCAGCUCAGAGACAAAGAUGUCCAGUUGAAGAAGGAGGUAGACUUGAGACGUGCAUCAGAGAGCCAGCUUGGAGGAGAAGUUGUGGAGCUCAGAAGGCAACUGAAGGAGAAGCUCACGCCUUUACCAGAGUGUUCAGAAUGUGACUUGUUGAUAGACCAGUGCCAGUAUCUGAAGACGCUCAUUCCUGGAGGACAUCUUUCCUAGCUUGUAUUCGUUGUUUAUGUUGAGAAUCACCUCCAGGAUUGUUGGAUGGGAUUCAUUGUUGUACCCUGAUCAUUUGGAUCUUUGCUUGAAUAUUGUUGUAUGAUCCUAGUUGCUCAUGUAUAUAGAUGAGAUUGUUGAUGUUUUACCUCGUGCUCAUUAUCCCGUGUAGUCUGCUUCUGUGUUGUUCAUUGUUGCAGGUUGCCAUCUUUUUAAAGAUGAAUUAGGCUUUUGAAUGCCUGAGAAAUGAACAUAUCAUGUGCAUCAUACGCAUCAUUAGCAUCAUACACAUAUCAUUCUUGCAUUACAGGUGUUCUUGAGCAAGACUUCUCAUUCUGGUUCCUAUUUCAGGCAGGAUUGCUGAUCAACGUCCGCACCCUACUCUACGAGGUUGAAUCAACAGAGGAAUAUGGAUCAAGUGCAAACUGAGUUAGCAGAGAUGAGGGCUAACAUGGCCCAGUUCAUGCAUAUGAUGCAAGGGGUUGCGCAAGGUCAAGAAGAACUUCGAGCCCUAGUCCAGAGACAAGAAGCUGCAAUUCCACCGGUCAACCAUGCUUUGCCAGAGGGAGGCCCAGUCAAUGACCCUGCUACUGCUGCUGUUCCCAUCAACAACUAUGCUGUGGGUGAUGAGUUGAGGGGUAUCAGAAUCAACGGUCAACCUAUUGCUCUAGAGACAGUUAAUGCCAGAGUGACUCGUGCUCCAAUCCGUAAUCCUGCUCCAUUGGUUGAUAGGCAGGAGGAUAUGUUUACUCUCCUCAGUGAGGAUGAUGAAGUUGUGGGAAGAACUGACGAAAGGGAUAGGAGGGUUGAUGCCCUAGCUGAGAAGAUCAGAGCCAUGGAGUGUCAGAACUCUUUGGGGUUUGAUGUUACAAAUAUGGGAUUGGUUGAAGGGCUGAGGAUCCCUUAUAAGUUCAAGGCACCUUCUUUUGACAAAUACAAUGACACUUCUUGUCCUCGCACUCAUGUGCAGGCCUACUACAGAAAGAUCUCUGCCUACACAGAUGAUGAGAAGAUGUGGAUGUACUUUUUCCAGGACAGCUUAUCUGGAGCUUCCUUGGAUUGGUACAUGGAGCUGAAGAGGGAGUCCAUCAGAAGUUGGAGAGAUCUGGGGGAAGCCUUUCUGAGGCAAUACAAGCAUAAUAUGGACAUGGCGCCGAGUCGAACUCAGUUACAGAGCUUAUGUCAGAAGUCUGGAGAGAGUUUCAAAGAGUACGCCCAGAGAUGGCGUGAAUUAGCUGCAAGGGUGCAACCUCCGAUGCUGGAGAAGGAGUUGACCGAUAUGUUUAUUGGGACUUUGCAAGGAAUAUUUAUGGACCGGAUGGGAAGUUGCCCGUUUGGUAGCUUUUCUGAUGUGGUGAUUUGUGGAGAAAGGACAGAGAGUCUCAUUAAAGCUGGAAAGAUUCAGGACGCUGGUUCUUCAUCUUCAAAGAAGCCAUUUUCUGGAGCACCCAGAAGAAGAGAGGGAGAGACCAAUGCUGUGCAACACAGAAGAAAUAUGAAUAGCGGACAUUAUCGCCAGGUUGCUGCUGUGACCAUCCCAGCACCUCAACCACGACAACAGCAACAACAAAGAGCACCACAACAACAACAACAGCAACGUCCAUUUCAGCCGAGACAGAGAAUGCCGGAUCGUCGUUUCGACCCGUUGCCUACGACAUACGCUGAGUUGCUGCCCGAAUUGCUCAGAUUGGGGUUUGUUGAGUUGCGUACAAUGGCUCCGGUGACGAAGAUACCACUUGGGUAUGAUACCAACAUUCGUUGUGAUUUCCACUCCGGUGCACCGGGGCACCAUAUUGAGAAUUGUCGGGCUUUUCAUCAUAAGGUCCAGGACUUAAUUGACGCCAAAACAAUCAAUUUUGCUCCUGUGCCUAAUGUUGUGAACAAUCCUAUGCCUCAGCAAUUGAGAAUUGUCGGGCUUUUCAUCAUAAGGUCCAGGACUUAAUUGACGCCAAAACAAUCAAUUUUGCUCCUGUGCCUAAUGUUGUGAACAAUCCUAUGCCUCAGCAUGGUGCGCAUAGGGUGAACAGUGUGGAAGAUGGAGAAGUUGUGGACCUGGUAGUUGAUGUUGAAGAUGUCCAGACGUUGCUGUUUGUUGUGAAAAAGCGUCUGUUGGAUGAGGGAGUGUUCCCGGGUUGUGCUGAGGUUUGUUCAGACUGUGAAUACUCCGAGAAUGGGUGUAUAUAGUUGAAGAAUGGUAUCCAGGGACUGAUUGAUGAGGGUUGUUUGCAGUUUGCUAGGGCUGUGAAAGAACGUGGGAUGGUGUCAACUGUUACCAUUUAUUUCAAACCGUCUGAAGGGCGUGGCCAGAGAACUGUCAAUGCACCUGCAACCGUUGGUACUCCUGUUACCAUUUCUGCCCCAGUAACUGUCAGUGCUCCCACUACUAUUGCUGUGUCUGGUAGAAGGGCUGUUGAGAACAGUAGGGCCGUGCCGUGGAAGUAUGACAAUGCUUACCGCAACAACCGAAGGGCAGAAUGUCAGAUCAGGCCGGUGAAUCAGGCUCUAGUGACUAUUGGUUUGCCGAGUAGAGCUCCUGUGACUGUGGGUCCGGUUGUGGACAAUGUAGGGGGACCAGGAGGUUUCACAAGAAGUGGUCGU